Canis lupus familiaris (dog) is the source of this 1067-nucleotide long non-coding RNA. RefSeq lists it as uncharacterized. The record is from RefSeq and is a predicted model, not a curated record. The transcript is spliced from 3 exons. NCBI's taxonomy places the organism in Eukaryota, Metazoa, Chordata, Mammalia, Carnivora, Canidae.
CAAAAAAGACACUUCUCAUUUUCUACAAAGUAAAAGAUAAAAUGAAAGCACGGAGCAAAGAAAUUGGAUACAGUAAGUGUGACAGGAUGCCCUCUCCUCUUUCCCUCAACAGGCAGGGGAGGCACAGUUCUCAGCCACAGGACGGCCGCGGGCUUCCCAACCCCCCAACCCUCCGGAGGAGCCACUUUUCUUUUCCCAAACGAUGGGGGCUGGGGGCGUUUGCACAUGGAUAUGAGUCAAGGGACCUACCUCCUCUUUAAAGGAAACGUGAUCGCGAAAUCCUCAAAAUGGCACUUUUAAAAAAUGGCAUGGCCCCUGCAGAGAAGAGAAAUUCCCAAGUAUUUUAAUUCAUUCCCCAUUCUCAGCAGGGACCUUGAACAUUAUUAUGAACAGACAGUUGCUCUCGCACCAAAACAGAAUGAGGUUUUUGUGCUUUUGGAGUAGCGUCUGCUGGGGAGAACUGGUCUGCCUCUGAACGCACCCGUAGGGAUCCUACAUUUUAUUUAAUUUCAUAUCUUACUUUAUGUUUGGGGUUGCAUUUGGAGAAGGGGAUGAUGGUUGGUAAAGAGAAGGCUUUUUCACCUUAGUAACCUCCUAUCUUCCCCGGAACCCCGGCUCGCAGCUCUGGUGACACAGCCUCUCGCUCCUCACUUGGGACCAGAGUGGGCUCACUUGGAGAGCAGGUGCGUGGGGCCGACCACAGAGCUGGCGCUGAUGCCACGAGUGCUAAUGACUGUAGAAGAGGACAACCAGGGGCUCGUAUUCAAGGUCACUGGCAAAGGGACCCAGAGCCAGUUCAGGGGACCAACUGCAGAGAGUUCCAGGUCCUCCUGCAGGCUGAGGCCCACACUGUGAAGCCAUCUCUCCACCAGACCUAGAAACUGCCUCUGGAUUCCUGUCAAAGAACAGCUCUGGUUGGGUGCUUGGGCUCCGGGCUGAAUCACAAAUACCCAAGAACCCCAUGCUGCAGCCUGGCUGACUUCACGCAGCUCUGGCAUGUGGGACACACCAUCAGAGUCGCCUGGGCCCCAACUAACCAGCCCUGGAGCUAAAUAACCACCAUAGAC